GUCGACCCAACUGCCAUAGAUUCUCUCUCCUCUCUCUCUCUCUCACCUCUGAAUCAUUUCAUUGAUUUGACUUUUAGUUAACCUCUUCUGCGUCUCAAUACACACACACUCUCUCCCUGUCUGCCCGCAAUUCCGUACCGUUCAUGGCCUCCACUGCCAAUACGGCCCCUCCCAGAGCCCCCCAACCUCCUUCCUCCUCCAGACCCCCCAGAAACCCUACCCCCAAUCCUCCCCCCGACCCCCCGAAUGCAAACCCUAACCCUAAUCCCGUCCCUGAUCCUCCCUCCACGGCCGCCGCAGCGUCCAACACAUUCGCGCCGCCGCCCGAAGCCGUGGCCCUAUCCCGCGCCACCCACCUCACUCGCCCCGAGGUCCUCCGCCUCCGAUCCCACCGCCUGAAGCAGCUCGCCCGAUGCUACCGCGACCAUUACUGGGCCCUCAUGGAGGAGCUCAAGGUCCAGUACAGGGAAUACUACUGGGUACACGGCGUCAGCCCCUUUAGGGACGCGUCCGAGCCGGAGGCGCGUGAGCCCCACCCCCCGGACUUGGAGCACCCUGGGGAAGAUCCCCACAACAAUAACAACGCCGCCGCCGCCGCCGCGACGGGUGGUAAGGGAGUAUGCGCUUUUGUCGGGUGUAAAACCAAGGCCAUGGCUUUGACCAGCUUCUGCAAUCUCCAUAUACUCUCCGAUUCGAAGCAGAAGCUGUAUAAGCCGUGUAGUUUCGUAAUCAAGAGUGCGCAAGCAGGACCUAUAACAUGUUCAAAGCCAAUUCUGAGAUCCACUGUUCCUUCUCUUUGUUCACUCCACUCCCAGAAAGCACAGAGGGAUGUCUCACGGGCCUUGAGAAAAGGGGGUCUCAGUGUUGCUUCAUCCAAUAAGCUUGCUUCAAAGUUCCACGUCAUUGUUGCAGAAUAUGUAAGACAGAUUCAGGCGAAAAGAAGAGCUACACGUGAUGCAAGUCAAAUCAAAGUUGUGGUUAAGGAAGAAACUGCUAGCUAAACCUUGGAAUUAAGUGCGUUCAAAUCAUGAAAAGAAACUGCAUGAUUGGCUUCUAUGACGCACCCUUGAAGGUGAUUUACACCUCUCAUUGCACAGGAGCAGGGUAGAAGGAAUUUGGAUGACAUUCAAAAAUGAAUACGAGCUUUCUGCUCUCAUAGGUAAUCGGAAAAUGUAUAGCCAGAGACAUGAGCAGCUUCAUAGACAUAGGGAUUUGAGUUUACAUUAUUGUUCCUUUCGCUAGUUCGGGGAUGAAUAAGGGUAGUAUAGCUCUGGGUUUCUUGUUUGUUUUGUAUUGCAUCAAUCUUCUUUGCUUCUUAGCUCUUUUAUUUGCAUUUGCCUUUGCCUUUUGGACUUUGGAGGGAAAAAAAGGAAAGAGAAUUGUCUUUGUGAUACAAACAACUCUUUUUUUCUUCCAUAGAUAAUUCAUCUAUUAUCUAAUAUGUA
Non-coding RNA from Punica granatum (pomegranate), 1445 nucleotides. NCBI's taxonomy places the organism in Eukaryota, Viridiplantae, Streptophyta, Magnoliopsida, Myrtales, Lythraceae. The record is from RefSeq and is a predicted model, not a curated record.